Molecule: long non-coding RNA, 356 nt
Filed under: Elaeis guineensis (African oil palm)
Lineage: Eukaryota; Viridiplantae; Streptophyta; Magnoliopsida; Arecales; Arecaceae
Description: long non-coding RNA (EGUI_LNC078429)
Source: RNAcentral
UCAAAAUUCAUCUGGGAUCCAUCCACUGUAGGAGUUCGGCUGAAAUCCGAUUCUCGUAGGAGCUCGAAUGGAAUCCGAAAGGUGGUCGACCGCCGUAGAAAUUUGAAUGGAGUCUGAUUACUAUAGAAAUCUCAUUAUUAGAGAAGCUUGGACAUUGACGAAGUCCGAAAGAAGUUUGGAGUAGAGUCAUCCGUGGCCGGAAGAAGUCUGGAAGAGAUUCAGAGAAUAGUCAAUCACUAUAGAAAAUCGACUGAUAGCAGAGUUCAGAGGGCAUUUGGAGCAACCCGAUAGAUGAAUGGAGAAGCUCGUUGUCGGAGGAGUCUGGAUGGUAUUAUGGAAGCUCGGAUGGUCGGGGG